AAAAUUAGGAGAGAAUGUAGCAUUUACUGGAUCACAAAGGUGCUUUUCCCAGGGCAAGUCUUAUCCAUUGCACUCCGGAUGUGCUGACCCCUGCAAUUUCCCCAAAUGUGGGAAACUCGAAUGCAUAAUUUGUGGUAGUGGGGGAGUGGGUUCUCACUCUCCCCUG
Small nuclear RNA from Ailuropoda melanoleuca (giant panda), 166 nucleotides. Its record names the gene U1. It matches the Rfam family "U1 spliceosomal RNA". Rfam says of the family: U1 is a small nuclear RNA (snRNA) component of the spliceosome (involved in pre-mRNA splicing). Its 5' end forms complementary base pairs with the 5' splice junction, thus defining the 5' donor site of an intron. There are significant differences in sequence and secondary structure between metazoan and yeast U1 snRNAs, the latter being much longer (568 nucleotides as compared to 164 nucleotides in human). The record is from Ensembl. Lineage: Eukaryota; Metazoa; Chordata; Mammalia; Carnivora; Ursidae.